Molecule: ribosomal RNA, 460 nt
Filed under: uncultured bacterium
Lineage: Bacteria
Description: partial 16S ribosomal RNA
Rfam family: Bacterial small subunit ribosomal RNA
Source: RNAcentral
CCUACGGGAGGCUGCAGUGAGGAAUAUUGGUCAAUGGACGGAAGUCUGAACCAGCCAUGCCGCGUGCAGGAAGACGGCUCUAUGAGUUGUAAACUGCUUUUGUACAAGGGUAAACCUGAAUACGUGUAUUCAGCUGAAAGUACUGUACGAAUAAGGAUCGGCUAACUCCGUGCCAGCAGCCGCGGUAAUACGGAGGAUCCAAGCGUUAUCCGGAUUUAUUGGGUUGAAGGGGUGCGUAGGCGGAUUGAUAAGUUAGAGGUGAAAUGUCCGAGCUUAACUCGGGAACUGCCUCUAAUACUGUUGAUCUAGAGAGUAGAUGCGGUAGGCGGAAUGUAUGGUGUAGCUGUGAAAUGCUUAGAGAUCAUACAGAACACCGAUUGCGAAGGCAGCUUACCAAUCUAUAUCUGACGUUGAGGCACGAAAGCGUGGGGAGCAAACAGGAUUAGAUACCCCUGUAGUC